RNAcentral lists this unclassified non-coding RNA (349 nucleotides) under Hevea brasiliensis (rubber tree). The record is from RNAcentral. Lineage: Eukaryota; Viridiplantae; Streptophyta; Magnoliopsida; Malpighiales; Euphorbiaceae.
AUUAUUACCGAAAUGGAUCCCAGUAAGCUCCACCUCUACUCUAUAAUGCUUGAUCCCAUUAUUAAUAUUAUUAUAUUGGUCAACUUUCAAUGGCUUUGCUGACUUAUGCUGAAAACAGCAGAAAACUUUCCUCUAAUCACGCAACCAAAAGUGAAAUCUGAAAACAAAAGAUUAAAACAAAAGUAUGCCAUUAUCAUCAUAUGUGAGCACACGUUGGUCAGAUGAGAAUUGAGUAUUUCAAGAUGCAGUUUAGUUGUUCACACAUGAUGAAUGCUUAAUUAAUCUCUAAUAGUUGAUCUAAUUAGUUUUCAUGAUUUUUCUGUAGGUCAUAGCUCCUGUCUCUAUGAGU